This is a long non-coding RNA of Mus musculus (house mouse), 102 nucleotides long. RefSeq annotates it as predicted gene, 39942. The transcript is spliced from 3 exons. NCBI's taxonomy places the organism in Eukaryota, Metazoa, Chordata, Mammalia, Rodentia, Muridae. The record is from RefSeq and is a predicted model, not a curated record.
CUGCUCAUUUUGUUAAUGACAUGCAUAAGAAUAUCUCUGUAGCCUUGUCAGAGUUAUAUUUUAUAGAUAAAAAAAUUGGAAGCAAAGGUUAAUGCCCUAGAA